Molecule: ribosomal RNA, 497 nt
Filed under: uncultured bacterium
Lineage: Bacteria
Description: partial 16S ribosomal RNA
Rfam family: Bacterial small subunit ribosomal RNA
Source: RNAcentral
GAUGAACGCUGGCGGCGUGCCUAAUACAUGCAAGUCGAGCGAACGGACGAGAAGCUUUCUCCUCUGAUUUUAGCGGCGGUCGGGUGCGUAACACGUGGAUAACAUACCUAUCAGACUGGGAUACCUUUGCGAAAUCGGAUCUUAUACCCGAUGAUAUUUUGCACCGCAUUGUUCAAACGUGAAAUAAGGUCUUUCUGUCAGUUAUAGAUGGAUCCGCGCUGCAUGAGCUAGUUGGUAAGGUAACUGCUUACCAAGGCUACGAUGCAUAGACGACCUGAGAGGGUGGUUGGCUAGACGGGAACUGAGACACGGCACAGACACCUGCGGGAGGCAGCAGCAGAGAAUCUUCCGGGAUGGGGGAGAGGGGAACAGUGCAAAGCCGCGGGAGUGAUGAAGGACCUCGGAUCGGUAAGUGAUGAUAUCAGGGAAGAACAAAUGUGUAAUUACCCGUGAUGAUCAUGACGGUACCGAAUGAGAAAGCCACGGCUAACUACGUG